RNAcentral lists this ribosomal RNA (497 nucleotides) under uncultured bacterium. RNAcentral's name for it is "partial 16S ribosomal RNA". It matches the Rfam family "Bacterial small subunit ribosomal RNA", at positions 28 to 507 of the family's 1533-position model. The record is from RNAcentral.
GACGAACGCUGGCGGCGUGCCUAAUACAUGCAAGUAGAACGCUGAAACUUGGUGCUUGCACCGAGCGGAUGAGUUGCGAACGGGUGAGUAACGCGUAGGUAACCUGCCUGGUAGCGGGGGAUAACUAUUGGAAACGAUAGCUAAUACCGCAUAAGAGUAGAUGUUGCAUGACAUUUGCUUAAAAGGUGCAAUUGCACCACUACCAGAUGGACCUGCGUUGUAUUAGCUAGUUGGUGGGGUAACGGCUCACCAAGGCGACGAUACAUAGCCGCCCUGAGAGGAUGAGCGGCCACACUGGGACGGAGACACGGCCCAGACUCCUACGGGAGGCAGCAGUAGGGAAUCUUCGGCAAUGGACGGAAGUCUGACCGAGCAACGCCGAGUGAGUGAAGAAGGGUUUCGGAUCGUAAAGCUCUGUUGUAAGAGAAGAACGAGUGUGAGAGUGGAAAGUUCACACUGUGACGGUACCUUACCAGAAAGGGACGGCUAACUACGUG